Molecule: transfer RNA, 111 nt
Filed under: Promethearchaeota archaeon
Lineage: Archaea; Promethearchaeati; Promethearchaeota
Description: Candidatus Lokiarchaeota archaeon (microbial mat metagenome) tRNA-Pro
Rfam family: tRNA
About the family: Transfer RNA (tRNA) molecules are approximately 80 nucleotides in length. Their secondary structure includes four short double-helical elements and three loops (D, anti-codon, and T loops). Further hydrogen bonds mediate the characteristic L-shaped molecular structure. tRNAs have two regions of fundamental functional importance: the anti-codon, which is responsible for specific mRNA codon recognition, and the 3' end, to which the tRNAs corresponding amino acid is attached (by aminoacyl-tRNA synthetases). tRNAs cope with the degeneracy of the genetic code in two manners: having more than one tRNA (with a specific anti-codon) for a particular amino acid; and 'wobble' base-pairing, i.e. permitting non-standard base-pairing at the 3rd anti-codon position.
Source: RNAcentral
GGGCUCGUGGUCUAGCAAUUGAAUAAGAAUAACCGUUUUUAUCCAACUAGAAUGGAUUAUGAUCCCCGCCCGGGGCGCGGGAGAUCCUGGGUUCAAAUCCCAGCGAGCCCA